Molecule: ribosomal RNA, 253 nt
Filed under: uncultured bacterium
Lineage: Bacteria
Description: partial 16S ribosomal RNA
Rfam family: Bacterial small subunit ribosomal RNA
Source: RNAcentral
UACGGCGGCGGCAAGCGCUAUCCGGAAUUAUUGGGCGUAAAGCGUCCGUAGGUGGUGAUUCAAGUCAGCGGUUAAAGCGUGGGGCUUAACCUCAUACAGGCCGUUGAAACUGGAUUGCUAGAGUGCGGUAGGGGUCGAGGGAAUUCCCAGUGUAGCGGUGAAAUGCGUAGAUAUUGGGAAGAACACCGGUGGCGAAAGCGCUCGGCUGGGCCUGCACUGACACUGAGGGACGAAAGCUAGGGGAGCGAAAGGG